This 274-nucleotide ribosomal RNA is filed under the name uncultured bacterium. RNAcentral describes it as "partial 16S ribosomal RNA". It matches the Rfam family "Bacterial small subunit ribosomal RNA", at positions 523 to 796 of the family's 1533-position model. The record is from RNAcentral.
CUACGGAGGGGGUUAGCGUUGUUCGGAAUUACUGGGCGUAAAGCGCACGUAGGCGGACUGGAAAGUUGGGGGUGAAAUCCCGGGGCUCAACCCCGGAACUGCCUCCAAAACUUCCAAUCUAGAGAUCGAGAGAGGUGAGUGGAAUUCCAAGUGUAGAGGUGAAAUUCGUAGAUAUUUGGAGGAACACCAGUGGCGAAGGCGGCUCACUGGCUCGAUACUGACGCUGAGGUGCGAAAGCGUGGGGAGCAAACAGGAUUAGAAACCCCAGUAGUCC